UAGAAAAUYUUACCUGCUCAAUGGAAAAUUUUCUAAAUGGCCGCAGUAAUUUGACUGUGCUAAGGUAGCAUAAUAAUUUGCUCUUUAAUUAAGGGCUGGAAUGAAUGGUUUGAUGAAGAAAUUUUUGUCUCUUUUAUAUUUUUUAGAAAUUUACUUUUAAGUGAAGAGGCUUAAUUAUUAUUAAAAGACAAGAAGACCCUAUCGAGCUUUAAUUUUAAUUGUUUUCAAUUAUUUGCUUUGUAAUGUAUAAUAUUGAUUUUUUUUUUAUUUUGGUUGGGGCAAUCAUAAGUUAUAAGUAAUACUUUAUGUUUAAAUGAUUAAUAUAGUAGAUCCAAUAUUUUUAUUGAUUAAUAGAAUAAGUUACCGUAGGGAUAACAGCAUAAUUUUUUUGAAGAGUACUUAUUGCGAAAAGAGUUUGUGACCUCGAUGUUGGAUCAAAAUUUCCUAUAGGUGCAGUUGUUWWWAAGGGUUGGUCUGUUCGACCAUUAAAAUUUUA
Molecule: ribosomal RNA, 496 nt
Filed under: Hydroginella sp. MNHN-IM-2013-5506
Lineage: Eukaryota; Metazoa; Mollusca; Gastropoda; Neogastropoda; Marginellidae
Description: partial 16S ribosomal RNA
Source: RNAcentral